GAUGAAGAACGCAGCGAAAUGCGAUAAGUAAUGUGAAUUGCAGAAUUCAGUGAAUCAUCGAAUCUUUGAACGCACCUUGCGCUCUUUGGUAUUCCGAAGAGCAUGCCUGUUUGAGUGUCAUGAAAAUAUCAACCUUGACUUGGGUUUUGUGCUCUAGUCUCGGCUUGGAAUUGGGUGCUUGCCGCUUUUACGAGCGGCUCACCUUAAAUGUAUUAGCUGGAUCUGUCUUUGAGACUUGGUUUGACUUGGCGUAAUAAGUAUUUCGCUAAGGACAUUCUUCGGAGUGGCCUCGUUUCUAGGACGCUUGUCCGCUUUCCAAUACAAGUUCCACCUCGUGGACAUGACUUUUUAUUAUCUGGCCACAAAUCAGGUAGGACUACCCGCUGAACUUAAGCAUAUCAAUAAGCGGAGGA
RNAcentral lists this unclassified non-coding RNA (413 nucleotides) under soil metagenome. RNAcentral describes it as "partial contains 5.8S ribosomal RNA, internal transcribed spacer 2, and large subunit ribosomal RNA". The stretch from base 1 to 120 matches the Rfam family "5.8S ribosomal RNA", at positions 35 to 154 of the family's 154-position model. The record is from RNAcentral.